Molecule: ribosomal RNA, 324 nt
Filed under: Triticum aestivum (bread wheat)
Lineage: Eukaryota; Viridiplantae; Streptophyta; Magnoliopsida; Poales; Poaceae
Description: partial small subunit ribosomal RNA
Source: RNAcentral
AUGCGCUGGCCGACGUCGCCCUCCUUCUCCGCGGUGGCGGCGAAGCGGGCGGCGGUGGUUCUGGCUAUGGUGGUGCUGGUGCUGGCGAUGGCUGUCGUCCGUGCGCGCGGCGUGGAAGGCGCCCGCGUGCCGCGACCGUCGACGGUGGCGCCUCCCUCGACGACGAACAUGACCUCCGGCGGCGGCAACAACGAGGGCGUGGAGAUGCGGCGGCUGGCCGGAGGCGGGGCCUCCGCGGAGGACGAGGACUACGGGUACGUGGACCCUCCGCCGGACACGAACCGCCGAGGGGCCGGCGCUCCCAUCCCGCACAAGCACAACUGA